This is a long non-coding RNA of Oncorhynchus kisutch (coho salmon), 2792 nucleotides long. RefSeq lists it as uncharacterized. The transcript has 2 exons. The record is from RefSeq and is a predicted model, not a curated record. NCBI's taxonomy places the organism in Eukaryota, Metazoa, Chordata, Actinopteri, Salmoniformes, Salmonidae.
UUGUCGAGUGACCACUAACAAUGGAAAUACAUAUCCUCAAAUAUGGAAUACGGGCGAGAUCAGGUGGUACCAUUCUAGCAAAUGAGAGGGCGGAUCCGCGUGUGAACAAGAUGCACAACUCCGAUAGUUUCUAUCCAAAUUGCCACGUGCGUCCACUUAUCAGUGCAUUCGUAACAACCUAACCAUUACUAAACUUCAUUUCGAUCAAAUACGCCUCAAGUAGCAAGCAACUUUCGUUGACCAAAAUCGACACUCACUGACCUCCAUACAAAAAUCCCACUUGUGGUCUUAUUUUCGUGGACACAUUUUGUGCGGCGUAAACCCUUUCACUACGCUUCUUCCUAUCGAAUGACCAAACGUCGCCUAUUUACCGUAUUAACUGCACUGGGAUCAAAACUAAUGACGCAUUCUGAAUGUAUGGCAACCUCUAAUUACCGUAGGCCUACAAGCGGAGCUAGAAGAGAAACUUGUGUUUGACCAGUCCAGAUAUCACACUUUUUUUAAUGAGUUUGCCUAAGAAUGACAUAAAACACUUACAGGACUCUUACCUCUAACGGUCGCCAUCAGCUCUCGCUGCGUUUUGAUAUGUUUUAGCGACAGAUCCUUUCUAAAAUGUCUCAACGUGGAUGUUGUGCUACCGCUCGUCCGCUUCAGAACAGGCGCACACAGCUUGCAUGUCACACUUUCGGAAGAUAUUUCAUUGAAAUAUCUCCACGUGUGACUUCUAUAUUUUGUACGGUCUCUGCUUCUACAUUCCAUAUCUCACAGCUGCUGGUUCUUAGUGUAAUGGAUGGAUCGUUUGAGCUAUCAACUGCAGUCUUUGGUGGCCGUCUGGAUCUGCGACAUUUCAUUGCGCAUGUGCUGGGAUUAAAGGUAAACGUUUUCACCACUCCACAUAGCCGACACAUACAAAAGCAACAUUUUGAAAAUAAUAAAUCAAGCAUUCUGCUUGACAAUAGCACGCAUUUUAUUUAAAGUCUCACACGCACAUAAACGAGUCCAAUUUGAGCCCCCCCAAAAUAAAAUAAAAAUCAUAACCGCACAAACUGAUCUAUCGGACCCGACUGCAAACCGCCAUUAGGAAAGACGGCUACCCCAACCCGAACCAUGUGGAAUUGAACCGACGGCCACAACCCGAGCUAACCACCUUUGUCCUUCCUGCUGCGCAUUUUAAGCUCCACGUUUUGCACUACAAUUUACUACUGUGCAAUCAAUAGACGUCUUACCGUGCAUUUCUCUAUGUGUUUUUUCAAGCUGGAAGUGCCUGUUCUAUGGCUGUCAUAAGCUAACACCCGCUUGCACUUUUUGCAUGCUGCGAAUCCAUCCACAUGUUGUUUGUCAGCGUUAACGAUUACUCCAAAAUGAUCCCAUACAUUUGAUUUAACUCGUGCCCUGUUUUUCACGAUUCUGAGCUCCCUAUUUUUUAUCUUUUGGGUCAAAUUCUGGUUUUCUGUGGUAUGUUUUUUGCUUUCCAUUCUUUCGGUCUUCUCUGGCUGUGCGGGUAGGGUUAUCCUGUGGGUUGUUUUCACUGUGUCUGCGCGCUGUAGCAAAGAAUAGUUUAGCUGUAGGCUUCUAUACGCAUUCUAGAAUGACAUUUACAAGCAAUACAAAACCCGAUAAGAUGCAAUACACACACUUUACAGUGUUAAUUUGAGCACGUUUUGGUUGAUCUAGGGAUCUAUUAGCCCUGGACUCUCAGUUGCAUUAUAUUACUAGUCAUUGGACAGGCGUAUUUUGUAGGGGGAGAUUUAAGAGCCCAGAUGCCUGGUCUGAACAUUAACACGCAUCACAUGUGGUACAGUUUUGGAAGCAUAAGGACAUUAUCUUUAACAGCUAGAAAUCAAAAAGUUGAAUUGAUACAAAUGUAUGGGGUUAGUGUCCCCCCACGGGCAUAUCGCCAUGUUACAGCACUUUAACGGAGAACGGUGCUAAUUAGCUGUCUAGCCUACUCUGGAAGUGCAGUUUCGUUGGAUGGAGGCACCCAUAGCUGUAUGGAUCUAUUCAAAUCUGCUACAGCUACAGAGAUGGGUUCCUGGAUCACCUCAAGGUCACCCUUGAUCGAGCACCGCAUAUGUGGAAGCUGUGCAUCCCAGGACCCCUGUCAGCCCAGUGUGAGAGGCCUGACCUAUGCAUCCCAUGACCCCUGUCAGCCCAGUGUGAGAGGCCUGACCUAUGCAUCCCAGGACCCCUGUCAGCCCAGUGUGAGAGGCCUGACUAUGCAUCCCAGGACCCCUGUCAGCCCAGUGUGAGAGGCCUGACCUAUGCAUCCCAGGACCCCUGUUGGCCCAGUGUGAGAGGCCUGACCUAUGCAUCCCAGGACCCCUGUUGGCCCAGUGUGAGAGGCCUGACCUAUGCAUCCCAGGACCCCUGUCGGCCCAGUGUGAGAGGCCUGACAAGGAGGCGGGCAUAGCUAUUUGUCUCCCACGUCAAUCUUGAGGGUGACUGAAGCCUGCUUGAAUGAAGUGGGGUGUGCGGGUCCCCAUCAAUCUCUGUAGGUGGUUGAGUUUUCUAAAGUCAAAGUAAAUCACGCUUACGUGAUGACAUCACACUUUGUUACUUUGUAUAGUUUCUUGAAGCAUUCGGACAGGAGAGCAGUGUUACAAAUUGUAUGAGUCAAAUGGUCCUGCACACUGUUGGGUGGCCGGGUGCCCAUAUAAGGCAUAUGGCUCUAAUAUAUUUCUUAAAUGUCAAAUGAUGUCUCAUCAUUAUUUCUCACCAUCAUUUAUGUUGAUCAAUAUUUUGGUUGUGCUGGCCUAAUUUGUAAAUGAUCAAAUAAAUGUCUGAUCAAUACA